CCGGAAGGCCGCGGCGGCGUCCCGGCUGCUAAGGCGGGUCCCACGCGGCUGGCAGCGGACACGCCGGACCUAGGGCCGGAGGACGGACGGCAACCGCCUCUGCGCGGACCGGGGCUGGGCCGUGCGGCGGCAGCGGCGCCAGGGGAUGCUCUUGCUGGGCCUGGCCUCUCCCUUCUCAACUUAGGGCGGCGGCGGGCCCGCGCCCCUAGCUCCCGGGCCAUGGCGCUGAGGGAGCUCAAAGUGUGUCUGCUCGGGGAUACAGGUGUAGGUAAAUCGAGUAUUGUGUGGCGGUUUGUGGAAGACAGUUUUGAUCCAAACAUCAACCCAACAAUAGGGGCAUCUUUUAUGACCAAGACUGUCCAGUACCAAAAUGAGCUACAUAAAUUCCUAAUCUGGGAUACAGCUGGACAAGAACGAGAGUAGUUGCUCUGAGAUGCAAACCUGCCUACAGCCUGCCUGAUGCCCCAUCACACAGCCCAGAGCUGCACAGGAGAUACUCAUGGGGCCAGGCCACAGGCCAGAGGCGCUGACCAGGAUGGCCUGCAUGGAGAAGACAGGAGAGGGGCGCCACCUGAUGAGCACUCACUCCAGCCGGUUGUUGCUGGGCGUGAGCACAGUGCUAAGGAAAGCCACACACCUGACGGCUACCCACAAAUUGUUUGAAAUGCUGGGAGGAUCACAUAAGACACGUCUUGUAAGCCUGUCUGGGUCAGGGACUGCUCGUUUAUCCUGGGCAGUGCAUUGAAGGUCCAGAAUGUGCCAUCCACAGCCAGGCUCUAUUUUCACCUCCUCCCACCAGUCUGUCCUCUAGUACAAACUGCGUGCUGUUCUCCAGCAUGCCAUAGUUUCACACCCUCAUGCCCUUCCACAACUCUAUUCAGCCUUCGGAACCAACCUCCGAUGUCACCUAAAGGGGACUUUCCUGCCAUCUCUGCUCUCGGACAAAUAACCACAUCGCCACACUGCUGUGUUGCUCUAGACCCAUAUCUGGAGGCCUCCCGGGUUCCUC
Molecule: small RNA, 1009 nt
Filed under: Pongo abelii (Sumatran orangutan)
Lineage: Eukaryota; Metazoa; Chordata; Mammalia; Primates; Hominidae
Description: processed transcript
Source: RNAcentral